CCCUUAGAUGUUCUGGGCCGCACGCGUGCUACACUGAGUGGAUCAGCGGGUCAGGUUGCGCGAAAGCGUUUCCUAAUCUUUAAAUCCGCUCGUGAUGGGGAUUGACGGUUGCAAUUUUCUGUCAUGAACGAGGAAUACCUUGUAAGCGCGGGUCAUCAUCCCGCGCUGAAUACGUCCCUGCCCUUUGUACACACCGCCCGUCGCUCCUACCGAUUGAAUGCUCAGGUGAGCCAUUCGGACUUUCAUCAUGCUGGUUUCCAGUUUUGAUGAAGGAAAGUCUUGCGAACCUUAUCAUUUAGAGGAAGGAGAAGUCGUAACA
Molecule: ribosomal RNA, 319 nt
Filed under: uncultured eukaryote
Lineage: Eukaryota
Description: partial 18S ribosomal RNA
Rfam family: Eukaryotic small subunit ribosomal RNA
Source: RNAcentral